UGUGUUGGAUGGUGACAUAUUAAUCCCUUUACCUUUGAGGGGGCGGGGAGAUGUGUUUCAUGCCAAGGUACUCGUCACUGUUGUGUUGGAUGGUGACAUAUUAAUCCCUUUACCUUUGAGGGGGCGGGGAGAUCUGUUUCAUGCCAAGGUACUCGUCACUGUUGUGUUGGAUGGUGACAUAUUAAUCCCUUUACCUUUGAGGGGGCGGGAGAUGUGUUUCAUGCCAAGGUACUCGUCACUGUUGUGUUGGAUGGUGACAUAUUAAUCCCUUUUCCUUUGAGGGGGCGGGGAGAUGUGUUUCAUGCCAAGGUACUCGUCACUGUUGUGUUGGAUGGUGACAUAUUAAUCCCUUUUCCUUUGAGGGGGCGGGGAGAUGUGUUUCAUGCCUAGGUACUCUUCACUGUUGU
Eriocheir sinensis (Chinese mitten crab) is the source of this 407-nucleotide long non-coding RNA. RefSeq lists it as uncharacterized. The record is from RefSeq and is a predicted model, not a curated record. NCBI's taxonomy places the organism in Eukaryota, Metazoa, Arthropoda, Malacostraca, Decapoda, Varunidae. The transcript is spliced from 3 exons.